This 253-nucleotide ribosomal RNA is filed under the name uncultured bacterium. Its description in RNAcentral is "partial 16S ribosomal RNA". It matches the Rfam family "Bacterial small subunit ribosomal RNA", at positions 524 to 776 of the family's 1533-position model. The record is from RNAcentral.
UACGAGGGGUGCAAGCGUUGCUCGGAAUUAUUGGGCGUAAAGGGUAGGUAGGUGGUCUCAUUUGUCUGAGGUGAAAGCCUUGAGCUUAACUCAAGAAGUGCCUUAGAAACGGUGAGACUGGAGUCCUGGAGAGGGUCGUGGAAUUCCUGGUGUAGCGGUGAAAUGCGCAGAUAUCAGGAGGAACACCAAUGGCGAAGGCAGCACUCUGGGACGUGACUGACGCUGAGACGCGAAAGCGUGGGGAGCAAACAGG